UCCGGCUUGCCACCGGCAGUUCCACUAGAGUGCCCAGCUUAACCUGAUGGCAACUAGUAGCGAGGGUUGCGCUCGUUGCGGGACUUAACCCAACAUCUCACGACACGAGCUGACGACAGCCAUGCAGCACCUGUGCGAAGGUUCCCUUUCGGGCACACCCACAUCUCUGCGGGCUUCCUUCCAUGUCAAGGGUAGGUAAGGUUUUUCGCGUUGCAUCGAAUUAAUCCACAUCAUCCACCGCUUGUGCGGGUCCCCGUCAAUUCCUUUGAGUUUUAAUCUUGCGACCGUACUCCCCAGGCGGUCAACUUCACGCGUUAGCUGCGUUACCAAGGAAAUUAAUCCCCGACAACUAGUUGACAUCGUUUAGGGCGUGGACUAC
RNAcentral lists this unclassified non-coding RNA (379 nucleotides) under uncultured Gammaproteobacteria bacterium. Its description in RNAcentral is "contains 16S-23S intergenic spacer region". The record is from RNAcentral. Lineage: Bacteria; Pseudomonadati; Pseudomonadota; Gammaproteobacteria.